GAAGCCAGUCAGACCGUCGCUGCCCGUUGCCGUGCAAACCGCGCGGGGAGAGGAAAGUCCGGGCUCCGCAGAGCAGGAUGCUGGGUAACGCCCAGACGCAAUACGUCGCCGCUAAAGUGCGGCCGACGAAGGCGAUGAACAGGGCCACAGAGACGAGUCGCUUCGUUUUUUAAAUGAAGCGGGUGAAACGCGGCAACCUCCAUCCGGAGCAACACCAAAUAGGCGGACGCGAAGUAUCAACGCAGGCUGCUCGCCAAGUCCGCGGGUAGGUGGCUCGAGCGCAGCGGCAACGUUGCGCCUAGAAGAAUGACGGUCAUAGCGCACGGGCGACCGUGCGCCGUAACAGAACCCGGCUUAUCGGCUGACUUCGGCU
RNAcentral lists this RNase P RNA (373 nucleotides) under Betaproteobacteria bacterium. RNAcentral describes it as "RNase P RNA component class A". It matches the Rfam family "Bacterial RNase P class A". Rfam says of the family: Ribonuclease P (RNase P) is a ubiquitous endoribonuclease, found in archaea, bacteria and eukarya as well as chloroplasts and mitochondria. Its best characterised activity is the generation of mature 5'-ends of tRNAs by cleaving the 5'-leader elements of precursor-tRNAs. The record is from RNAcentral. Lineage: Bacteria; Pseudomonadati; Pseudomonadota; Betaproteobacteria.